Molecule: ribosomal RNA, 253 nt
Filed under: uncultured bacterium
Lineage: Bacteria
Description: partial 16S ribosomal RNA
Rfam family: Bacterial small subunit ribosomal RNA
Source: RNAcentral
UACGGGGGGGGCAAGCGUUGUUCGGAAUUACUGGGCGUAAAGGGCUCGUAGGCGGCCAACUAAGUCCGACGUGAAAUCCCAAGGCUUAACCUUGGAACUGCGUCGGAUACUGGAUGGCUUGAAUUCGGGAGAGGGAUGCAGAAUUCCAGGUGUAGCGGUGAAAUGCGUAGAUAUCUGGAGGAACACCGGUGGCGAAGGCGGCAUCCUGGACCGAGAUUGACGCUGAGGCGCGAAAGCCAGGGGAGCAAACGGG